UGGAAGUAAAAGUCGUAACAGGUCUCCCGUAGGUGAACCUGCGGAGGGAUCAUUA
Molecule: ribosomal RNA, 55 nt
Filed under: Drechslera avenae
Lineage: Eukaryota; Fungi; Ascomycota; Dothideomycetes; Pleosporales; Pleosporaceae
Description: partial 18S ribosomal RNA
Rfam family: Eukaryotic small subunit ribosomal RNA
Source: RNAcentral